UGGGAACGUGCCCUUUGGUUCGGGACAACUCCGGGAAACUGGAGCUAAUACCGGAUACGCCCUUCGGGGGAAAGAUUUAUUGCCAAAGGAUCGGCCCGCGUCUGAUUAGCUAGUUGGUAGGGUAAUGGCCUACCAAGGCUACGAUCAGUAGCUGGUCUGAGAGGAUGAUCAGCCACAUUGGGACUGAGACACGGCCCAAACUCCUACGGGAGGCAG
This 216-nucleotide ribosomal RNA is filed under the name uncultured bacterium. RNAcentral's name for it is "partial 16S ribosomal RNA". It matches the Rfam family "Bacterial small subunit ribosomal RNA", at positions 118 to 351 of the family's 1533-position model. The record is from RNAcentral.